Molecule: ribosomal RNA, 2890 nt
Filed under: Klebsiella pneumoniae
Lineage: Bacteria; Pseudomonadati; Pseudomonadota; Gammaproteobacteria; Enterobacterales; Enterobacteriaceae
Description: 23S ribosomal RNA
Rfam family: Bacterial large subunit ribosomal RNA
Source: RNAcentral
GGUUAAGCGACUAAGCGUACACGGUGGAUGCCCUGGCAGUCAGAGGCGAUGAAGGACGUGCUAAUCUGCGAAAAGCGUCGGUAAGGUGAUAUGAACCGUUAUAACCGGCGAUGUCCGAAUGGGGAAACCCAGUGCAAUUCGUUGCACUAUCGUUAACUGAAUACAUAGGUUAACGAGGCGAACCGGGGAACUGAAACAUCUAAGUACCCCGAGGAAAAGAAAUCAACCGAGAUUCCCCAGUAGCGGCGAGCGAACGGGGAGCAGCCCAGAGUCUGAAUCAGCUUGUGUGUUAGUGGAACGGUCUGGAAAGUCCGACGGUACAGGGUGAUAGUCCCGUACACCAAAAUGCACAGGUUGUGAACUCGAAGAGUAGGGCGGGACACGUGGUAUCCUGUCUGAAUAUGGGGGACCAUCCUCCAAGGCUAAAUACUCCUGACUGACCGAUAGUGAACCAGUACCGUGAGGGAAAGGCGAAAAGAACCCCGGCGAGGGAGUGAAAAAGAACCUGAAACCGUGUACGUACAAGCAGUGGGAGCACCUUCGGGUGUGACUGCGUACCUUUGUAUAAUGGGUCAGCGACUUAUAUUCUGUAGCAAGGUUAACCGUAUAGGGAGCCGCAGGGAAACCGAGUCUUAACUGGGCGUUAAGUUGCAGGGUAUAGACCCGAAACCCGGUGAUCUAGCCAUGGGCAGGUUGAAGGUUGGGUAACACUAACUGGAGGACCGAACCGACUAAUGUUGAAAAAUUAGCGGAUGACUUGUGGCUGGGGUGAAAGGCCAAUCAAACCGGGAGAUAGCUGGUUCUCCCGAAAGCUAUUUAGGUAGCGCCUCGUGAACUCAUCUUCGGGGUAGAGCACUGUUUCGGCUAGGGGUCAUCCCGACUUACCAACCCGAUGCAAACUACGAAUACCGAAGAAUGUUAUCACGGGAGACACACGGCGGGUGCUAACGUCCGUCGUGAAGAGGGAAACAACCCAGACCGCCAGCUAAGGUCCCAAAGUCAUGGUUAAGUGGGAAACGAUGUGGGAAGGCACAGACAGCCAGGAUGUUGGCUUAGAAGCAGCCAUCAUUUAAAGAAAGCGUAAUAGCUCACUGGUCGAGUCGGCCUGCGCGGAAGAUGUAACGGGGCUAAACCAUGCACCGAAGCUGCGGCAGCGACACUAUGUGUUGUUGGGUAGGGGAGCGUUCUGUAAGCCUGCGAAGGUGUGCUGUGAGGCAUGCUGGAGGUAUCAGAAGUGCGAAUGCUGACAUAAGUAACGAUAAAGCGGGUGAAAAGCCCGCUCGCCGGAAGACCAAGGGUUCCUGUCCAACGUUAAUCGGGGCAGGGUGAGUCGACCCCUAAGGCGAGGCCGAAAGGCGUAGUCGAUGGGAAACAGGUUAAUAUUCCUGUACUUGGUGUUACUGCGAAGGGGGACGGAGAAGGCUAUGUUAGCCGGGCGACGGUUGUCCCGGUUUAAGCAUGUAGGCUGGUUAUCCAGGCAAAUCCGGAUAAUCAAGGCUGAGGUGUGAUGACGAGGCACUACGGUGCUGAAGUAACAAAUGCCCUGCUUCCAGGAAAAGCCUCUAAGCAUCAGGUAACAUCAAAUCGUACCCCAAACCGACACAGGUGGUCAGGUAGAGAAUACCAAGGCGCUUGAGAGAACUCGGGUGAAGGAACUAGGCAAAAUGGUGCCGUAACUUCGGGAGAAGGCACGCUGGUGUGUAGGUGAAGUCCCUGCGGAUGGAGCUGAGACCAGUCGAAGAUACCAGCUGGCUGCAACUGUUUAUUAAAAACACAGCACUGUGCAAACACGAAAGUGGACGUAUACGGUGUGACGCCUGCCCGGUGCCGGAAGGUUAAUUGAUGGGGUUAUCCGUAAGGAGAAGCUCUUGAUCGAAGCCCCGGUAAACGGCGGCCGUAACUAUAACGGUCCUAAGGUAGCGAAAUUCCUUGUCGGGUAAGUUCCGACCUGCACGAAUGGCGUAAUGAUGGCCAGGCUGUCUCCACCCGAGACUCAGUGAAAUUGAACUCGCUGUGAAGAUGCAGUGUACCCGCGGCAAGACGGAAAGACCCCGUGAACCUUUACUAUAGCUUGACACUGAACAUUGAGCCUUGAUGUGUAGGAUAGGUGGGAGGCUUUGAAGCGUGGACGCCAGUCUGCGUGGAGCCAACCUUGAAAUACCACCCUUUAAUGUUUGAUGUUCUAACGUUGGCCCCUGACCGGGGUUGCGGACAGUGUCUGGUGGGUAGUUUGACUGGGGCGGUCUCCUCCCAAAGCGUAACGGAGGAGCACGAAGGUUAGCUAAUCCUGGUCGGACAUCAGGAGGUUAGUGCAAUGGCAUAAGCUAGCUUGACUGCGAGCGUGACGGCGCGAGCAGGUGCGAAAGCAGGUCAUAGUGAUCCGGUGGUUCUGAAUGGAAGGGCCAUCGCUCAACGGAUAAAAGGUACUCCGGGGAUAACAGGCUGAUACCGCCCAAGAGUUCAUAUCGACGGCGGUGUUUGGCACCUCGAUGUCGGCUCAUCACAUCCUGGGGCUGAAGUAGGUCCCAAGGGUAUGGCUGUUCGCCAUUUAAAGUGGUACGCGAGCUGGGUUUAGAACGUCGUGAGACAGUUCGGUCCCUAUCUGCCGUGGGCGCUGGAGAAUUGAGGGGGCUGCUCCUAGUACGAGAGGACCGGAGUGGACGCAUCACUGGUGUUCGGGUUGUCAUGCCAAUGGCACUGCCCGGUAGCUAAAUGCGGAAGAGAUAAGUGCUGAAAGCAUCUAAGCACGAAACUUGCCCCGAGAUGAGUUCUCCCUGAGACUAUAAGUCUCCUGAAGGAACGUUAAAGACGAUGACGUUGAUAGGCCGGGUGUGUAAGCGCAGCGAUGCGUUGAGCUAACCGGUACUAAUGAACCGUGAGGCUUAACCUU